GGGUGAUCUGACGAUCUGGCUAUGACAUCCACUACUCUGAUUGCCAGACUUGAUUCUGGUGACUUGGCUAGCUAGCAGGUGCUCUUGGUCACUCCACAUUCAUCCAUUUUGAAGAUGUGAAUUCAGUGGAAGAGGAGGACCAUCCACCCUGGAAGAGGACAAGUCUUGGGUCAUGAGUAUAUGAUUAGCUUGGCUCUCCUGAUGGAACUUCUAGAUAAGCUAUCAAAUGACUGUUGUGAUUCAAACGAGUCAUUCUGGAAGGUUGUUCAAUAUUUCUCACGUUUCCAGUUUUGCUCUUUGUGUGUUGUAUGCAUGGUGUAUGUAUAUGUGUUCAU
RNAcentral lists this small nuclear RNA (335 nucleotides) under Mus pahari (shrew mouse). RNAcentral describes it as "sRNA (MGP_PahariEiJ_G0008252.1)". The stretch from base 1 to 295 matches the Rfam family "7SK RNA". From Rfam's summary of the family: 7SK was discovered as an abundant small nuclear RNA in the mid-70s but a possible function has only recently been suggested. Two independent studies have found that 7SK RNA binds the CDK9/cyclin T complex (known as elongation factor P-TEFb). Lineage: Eukaryota; Metazoa; Chordata; Mammalia; Rodentia; Muridae. The record is from RNAcentral.